This 932-nucleotide non-coding RNA is filed under the name Onychodactylus zhaoermii. Its description in RNAcentral is "12S ribosomal RNA". It matches the Rfam family "Microsporidia small subunit ribosomal RNA". The record is from RNAcentral. Lineage: Eukaryota; Metazoa; Chordata; Amphibia; Caudata; Hynobiidae.
UAAAGGUUUGGUCCCAGCCUUACUAUUAAUUUUAAUUAUAUUUAUACAUGCAAGUCUCAGCAUUCCUGUGAAAAUGCCCUCUUUUUACCAUAAUAAAAAUGAGGAGCAGAUAUCAGGCACUACUUUGCCCAUAACAUCUUGCUAAGCCACACCUCCACAGGAAUUCAGCAGUAGUAAAUAUUGAAUAUAAGCGUCAAUAAGCUUGACUCAGUAAUAAUUUAAAGAGUUGGUAAAUUUCGUGCCAGCCACCGCGGUUAUACGAAAAACCCAAAUUAAUAAAAACGGCCCAAAGCGUGGUUAAAUUAUAUUAAAUAUAAUAGAAAUGAAAAUUAACUUAACUGUCAUACGUAACCGUUAAACGUAAAACCAGAAACGAAAGUUAUUCUAAUAAAAAAAAUUACUUGAACCCACGACCGCUAAGAAACAAACUAGGAUUAGAUACCCUACUAUGCUUAGCUUUAAACUUUGAUUUCUCCGCCAGAUUACUACGAGCCAUAGCUUAAAACUCAAAGGACUUGGCGGUGCUCUACACCCCCUAGAGGAGCCUGUUCUAUAAUCGAUAAUCCUCGCUAAACCUCACCACCUAUUGCCAAUACCGCCUAUAUACCACCGUCCUAAGCUUACCCUUUAAGGGAUAAACAGUAAGCAUAAUAAUAAACAUAAAAACAUCAGGUCAAGGUGUAGCGAAUUAAGUGGAAAGAAAUGGGCUACAUUUUCUUAUAAGAAAAUACAAAAGGUAAAAUGAAAUAUUACCUGAAGGCGGAUUUAGCAGUAAAAAGAAAAUAGAGUGUUCUUUUUAAGUUGGCCCUAGAGCGCGCACACACCGCCCGUCACCCUCAUCAAAAAUAUUAAAGGAAAAAUAACAUAUAAAUUUUUGAAGAAGAGGAAAGUCGUAACAUGGUAAGUAUACUGGAAAGUGUACUUGGAUAUCA